GUCCACGCCCUAAACUAUGUCAACUGGUUGUCGGGGAAGCAAUUCCUUGGUAACGAAGCUAACGCGUGAAGUUGACCGCCUGGGGAGUACGGCCGCAAGGUUAAAACUCAAAGGAAUUGACGGGACCCGCACAAGCGGUGGAUUAUGUGGAUUAAUUCGAUGCAACGCGAAAACCUUACCUACCCUUGACAUGUACGGAAGCCCGCAGAGAUGUGGGUUUGCCCGAAAGGGAGCCGUAACACAGGUGCUGCAUGGCUGUCGU
Molecule: ribosomal RNA, 262 nt
Filed under: uncultured bacterium
Lineage: Bacteria
Description: partial 16S ribosomal RNA
Rfam family: Bacterial small subunit ribosomal RNA
Source: RNAcentral